UAGAGGAGGCCAUGAGGGUCUCACCUGUAACAUUCUGUAGAUAUGACUUGUUUAUUCUGUCUACUGUGAGUGCCUGACUCUGAGUAGAAUCAAGGCCGGGGGAUUGUCAUCUGCUUUGUUUAUGAAAUUAUGCCAAGCCCCAAGAAGAGCGAUGCACAAAUGAGGUGUUUUGAAUGUAUGUGUUGAAUGAGUGAACCCCAACCUUUGGAGAACCCCAGUGAGCCUCUCCAGAUGUCUGAGUGGGCCUGUGGCUCCUUUUUCAGCACCAAGGGACCCCUCUUCUGUCUGUGUCAAGGAGAAAGACCAGCCAGAAGGAAUCUCAGACAUCCUUUACCAGUGCCAUCGCAGACUUGGUUUCUAUGUGUUUUUCCAAACAGUGAGUGAUACAGGCCAUUGAGGCAGAAUGCUGAGAGCUGCUUCAAGUGAGGGGGAAGAGAAAAGUAACAAACAUGAAUCACAGCACCCCCAGCAGAUUUUCCAGAGUUUUAGGCUCUAGGGACCCCUUUGUUUGCUGUGUCUUAGAUCAUUGAGUCCCUACAAGAACCCUGUGAGGUUCGUCUUCUCACUACUCCCUGUUCCAGAGGAGCCAACCGAGGCUCCGAGAGGUGCAUCUUCAAGACAGAGCCAGUAGGGGACAGAGGCACCUCUGUGUCUUGGAGGGGGAUGGACACUCACCUUCUAACCAGUAGUUCCAAAAAGUGUGGCACAGUGAUAAAGUCCCAGGAGGGGCCCAGGCAGGUGGCAUAGGAGGAGAUGGGUUUAGUUAGAAAGGCUGGAACCAGGGACUCCCAACAGCUUCUCCCCAGUGCCGGGCUGGAAAGUUAGCAUCCUGCAGAUCUCAUUUUCAUACUAGGGGGACAAGGAGGGACAUGGGAGUCAGUGGUAACACCAUGGACCACCAGAGGAUCGGGAUCUGGAACUCACACCAAGAAGCACCAACCCUUCAGGGACUUGUGCAUAUGGAGAACCUGGGUGCCCAUGGUGAAAAGCGUUCUAGGCUUUCAAAGUAACAUUGCAUGUGAGGAUGGAGAAUGAUAAAACGAUUCCUGCCUUCAAGGCAUCGUCCCGGUGUUUGUCAGCUGUGGGGCAACAGCACCCUCUGUGUCAGCAACCUGCAUGAAGAGCAUCAUCCCUGCAAGUCCUCAAGGCCUGGGGAGGCCUCAUCCCCUCCUCAUUUCAGCAACAGCACACAGGACAAUACGCUCUAGAAGAACUCUUUGACUUAAAGGUAUAUGAUUGUUUUUGUUCCUUUAACAUGAACGUGAGUCUGGAGAAACAGCUACGGCCAUCCCAGCCCUGGCCAAGGGGAAAAUGCCGGAAGACUCCAGGGUGGGAGGAAGCGCGUCCCAAGGCCCAGGAUCUGCGAGGCGACUUGGGGAAAACGCAGGACCUGCUGAAGCUCACACCCGUGGACCACCCAGACUGCCUGCCGCUACAGGAUGCCCUCCGCAUCUCCCAGGACUUCUUUCCGGCAUCAGUGUGGACAUUGACCCCACUGGACUGCAGUCACAGUGGACUCCCAAGGGGCAGG
This 1531-nucleotide long non-coding RNA is filed under the name Homo sapiens (human). Its description in RNAcentral is "non-protein coding lnc-IGLL1-1:38". The record is from RNAcentral. Lineage: Eukaryota; Metazoa; Chordata; Mammalia; Primates; Hominidae.